This 455-nucleotide long non-coding RNA is filed under the name Equus asinus (donkey). RNAcentral describes it as "lncRNA (ENSEASG00005032041.1)". The record is from RNAcentral. Lineage: Eukaryota; Metazoa; Chordata; Mammalia; Perissodactyla; Equidae.
GACAAAUCUUCCAUCUGAAAUCGUGUUUCCCAGGCUUGCGCUCCAUUAGAGCUUUUAAAAAUACAUGUUCCCGCCUAGAAAUGCAUACAUUCUCACAGGCACAUGGCAUGGGGCAAAGAAAAAGGAAGAUCAGAGGAGGUAUAGAAUUUGCCCAAUGUUGCACGUAAUCAGUAAAUGUAAUGACGAGGGUGUGAACACCCAAGUGUAAUAUAUCUUCUGCUGGUAUUGCAGUUGCAGUGGGAGGAACGCCUUGCCCCUACCUACUAAAUCCUACUUGGAAGCAAAAGUCUAAAAACUGACUAUUAAUCUAUUUUUUUUCAUCAAUGAAAGCACCCUGAGUCAUAUUGCUUUGCCAAUAUUUUAUUAUGAAAAUUUUCAAACAAACAGCAAAAUUGAAAGAAGUUUAUAAUGAAGAACCCAUGUACCCGGUGGCAUGUUGGUAAGCUGGCUUUCCA